UAACCAAGUAAUUAUGCACUAAAUAAGUGGAUUGACAAAGAAUACCAACAAAUUUAUUGUCCCAAAAAAAAACUAUAAUCAUGCACUGAAAAACAACCUUUUGUCAACAAAAGAAUGACACAAAUUUCCAUUGAUAAAGUGUAAGAUAACAGAUAGUCAGUACCUAACUUGUUUUGUAUUUUUUUUAAAGGUAACUUAAUUACUUUUUUGUAGCAAAAUGUUUUAUAAUUAGAUUCAUUUUCAUGUUGUGAAGAAUACAACUUUCUACAUCAGAUGAGAUAUAUGUUAAAGAAAGCAUUAAAAAUAAGAAUAACAAAUCAUACCGCUCUUCAUUGCCAGAACCUCCGCCACCUAUUAUGAAUAAGCCCAAUGCUAAAAAGAUGCAAAAUGUUAUUCUCAAGGAGCUUGCAGAAAUAAAAGUUCUUUUAAAAGAAGUUAUAGAAAUUAAGUUUCAGGCUACUGAGGUGAAGUUGCUAGAAUCGGUGGACGAAGUGGUUACACUGGAUAAUAAACUAAAAGAUAAAACCGAGUAUACUAAUUUGAUAGUUUUAAAAAAGAUUGGUGGUGGAAAGCCAAGAGAACAUGUUUUUUGAUUAUGUUUUUAUUAAUUAUUAGAUAUAUGAUUAAAAGGGACCAAAAGCAAUUCUUUUUGACCGUUAUUUGUUAUGGAUUUACUUUUAACAUGACAAUUUGAUAAACUCGGGAGCUUCGCUGUAGGUGUUUAAGUUUGUUUGUGUGCUAAAGUUAUUUUCGAAUCAGUUACAGUCCAAAUUAAAUCGAAAAGGAAAUAGGGAAAAGAUAAGCUUAGAAAAUCUAGUAAAUAUAUGGAGUGUUUUACGAGAUAUCGGCGACGUGGAAGAAAAUGUUGACGGCAAUGCAGAAAUAUAGUUUCUUAUGUAUAUUUUUGUGAAAUAAAAAUUAAGUAAUGUUAGUUAAAA
Non-coding RNA from Hydra vulgaris (swiftwater hydra), 938 nucleotides. The record is from RefSeq and is a predicted model, not a curated record. Lineage: Eukaryota; Metazoa; Cnidaria; Hydrozoa; Anthoathecata; Hydridae.